RNAcentral lists this long non-coding RNA (509 nucleotides) under Triticum aestivum (bread wheat). RNAcentral's name for it is "long non-coding RNA (TAES_LNC028544)". Lineage: Eukaryota; Viridiplantae; Streptophyta; Magnoliopsida; Poales; Poaceae. The record is from RNAcentral.
CCUAUUUUCUUGUAGUGGUAUUGUAUAUGGUCUCAUCCAGCACUGAGUAUCCAUAUGUUGUUCUAAUCCUGAUGAUGAUGUUGUAGCAUAAAGUGGACACCAUAUUCAAUUUGUCUUGAUGCUUUAUCUCUUGUGGUUCUUGUCUGAUGCACAUUGUUCUUUGCAGGGUUAUGAUGAUAUUUCCACGGAAAUAUACUGACCCUGAUGCGACAAAGGUGUCCAUUUUCCCUUUUUUAAACUUUUUUACUCUGUUUUUUGUUCUUCCUGUAGUUCCAGUUUCACAUUGCUGGUGUUUCAUGCAAUAUUCAUCGGAUCCUGCUUACAUGCCUUAUUAUUGAGUAACUUGAUUAGUAUUUCUGCCACUGUCCUAUCUCAGUAAACUGUUUGUUUUUUCAGUAGCUAAAAAAGAAAGUAAAUCUAUUAUAUCCUGGUAUUGUAGAAUUUCAGUCUCACAGAAGUUACUCUGUGUCCUGCUUUAGCUUGCAAACCUGAUGUCUGCUGUCUGUUCU